This 505-nucleotide ribosomal RNA is filed under the name uncultured bacterium. RNAcentral describes it as "partial 16S ribosomal RNA". It matches the Rfam family "Bacterial small subunit ribosomal RNA", at positions 29 to 523 of the family's 1533-position model. The record is from RNAcentral.
AGUGAACGCUGGCGGUAGGCCUAACACAUGCAAGUCGAACGGCAGCACAGAGGAGCUUGCUCCUUGGGUGGCGAGUGGCGGACGGGUGAGGAAUACAUCGGAAUCUACUCUGUCGUGGGGGAUAACGUAGGGAAACUUACGCUAAUACCGCAUACGACCUACGGGUGAAAGCAGGGGAUCUUCGGACCUUGCGCGAUUGAAUGAGCCGAUGUCGGAUUAGCUGGUUGGCGGGGUAAAGGCCAACCAAGGCGACGAUCCGUGGCUGGUCUGAGGGAUGAUCAAGCCACACUGGAACUGGGCCACGGUCAAAAUCCUUAGGGGGGGAGGCAGUGGGAAAUUUUGGACAUGGGGGGAAAGCCUGAUCCAGCAAUACCGCGUGGUGAAGAAGGCCUUCGGGUUGUAAAGCCCUUUUGUUGGGAAAGAAAUCCAUCUGGUUAAUACCCGGGUGGGAUGACGGUACCCAAAGAAUAAGCACCGGCUAACUUCGUGCCAGCCGCCGCAGUAA